UUCCAUUUUGUGCUCUUAAUUUCACCGUGUCAACCCCAAAAGUCUCAAACCUCCCUCUACUCCCAAUCCAUCCCCGAACCACCUCCACCCUCCGAUUCCAUCACCUCGUCACAACCCGAACCACCACCACCGUCCGAUUCCGCCGCCAAUCCAUCAUUUCUCGAACCAUCGCCACCGUCCCAUUCCACCACACUACCUGAACCACAGUCACCACCUUCGUUGUUCCAUUCCUCAGAUACUCAAACCCCCAAACUCUCGAGGUAGAGCGGUUCCGUAUAAGAUUCCAGCUUUGAGUUAAGCUCCUUGCCAUGAGUUUUACUUCGAAAUUCUCAACGAUGGUUCUAUUAUUGACAAAUUUAACGUGCAUGAAAAAGGUGCUUAUAUGUCUAGGCGUUUGGAUCUCUGUGACUUUGUACUUGAACACCCAACUAUUUCUAGGUUUCAUGCUGAGUGGCAAAACGGAACUGGAGAAUCUGCUGGAUUUAAAUCACUAACUGCUUUCUAUCCAAAAGAGCAAUCUAAUUCCAAUGUGAGCGUUGUGAUCACAGGAGUAGGACCGGAUUUCACUAAGAUGGAAUCGUUUGGCAAAGUUGAAGAAUUUGCUGACACUCUGGUUAGUGGAUUGGACAGAAGCUGGAAAAAACCACCUGGUGUGGCUGCUAAACUCAUAGACUGUAAAUCAUCUAAAGGAUUUUACUUCAUUGAGUAUACGCUGCAAAGUCCUGGCGAGAGUCGCAAACAUCUAUAUUCAGCUAUUGGAAUGUUAACAAAUGGCUAGUAUAACAGACUGUAUACAGUAACAGGACAGUAUGGAGAUGAAGAAACAGACAAGUAUGCUUCCAAAAUUCAGAAGGCGGUUUCGAACAAGGAGUAUCAUGGUAUUUUGUUUUUCUUUCUUGCGUCAUAGAUGUGUCUGAGGAAUUUAGUGUUUACACCGAUGAUGAGAACAAGUUCAAGAUAGAGAUUCCUCAAGAGUGGAAAAUAGGAACAGGAGAAUCUGCUGGGUUUAAAUCACUAAUUGCUUUCUAUCCGAAAGAGGAAUCUAAUUCCAACGUGAGUGAUGUGAUCAUAGGGAAAAGUUGGAAUCAUUUGGCAAAGUUGAAGAAUUUGCCUACACGCAGUAUGGGGAUGAGGAAACAGACAAGUAUGCUUCCAAAAUUCAGAAGGGGCGGCUUGAUGUUGAUCUUGAUUCUGAAAAUUUGGCAUCUUCACAUGUAUAUCAAGGGACAGGAAAUGAACAUAACAAUUUGAAUGAAGAAUGGGUAGAUUUUGUCCCUACUGAUGAAAAUGUUGAUGCAUUCCAGGACAAGCAGUCUCCAACUGUGUUUUAAUACUGCCAAUCACAUCAAAACCUCUCAGCGAUUUUACAUUCGCACUCCCCCACUUUUCGCCGGUGAAGAUCGAAGUGUCAUCCAACAUGAUGGAUGCAUCACAUCCCUAAAUUUAGGACGUACAUUGACAAAGCAAUCAUGGAAAUGAAGACGGAGCAACGAAGCGCCCAUGCGAUGCUCUUUCGCAACAGCGCUACACACUGCAGAAUUUAUGAUAGAGAGGGCUUUGGGACAAGUUGUUGCAUAGAAAUUUGGAGAUAGUUGAGCAGAGAUGUUGAACUUGAGCGUCUGGGUUAAGCUUCAAGUUGCGCGGCUGAUAUUGAACCUCCAGGUUGAGCAGUUGAAGUUGAGCAUUCAGGCUGGGCAUCAGGUUGCGCAGUUGCUUUUGAGCAUCCAGACUGAGCAUAGUGUCGUGUUGUUGAUGUUGAGCAUUCAGGCUGAGCUUCAGAUUGUGCUGCUGAUGUAGACCAUCCAGGUUGAGCAGUUGAAGUAGAGCAUUCAGGUUGAGCAGCAGGUUGUGCGGUUGAAGUUGAGCAUUUAGGAUGCGCGGUUGAACUUGAGGCUCCAUAAUUCUUCUGUUAGCUACAAAAAACUACUCUUCACUUUUCUUCUCUUGCUGCUGGCUAGUUUUUAGUUAGCUACGUACGUGUUCUCAACUACUUAAUAAUGAUCUGAGAAAGAAGCUAGCUAGGAUGGAAUACGGUGGUGGGAUAGUGGACGUCGGCGGUGUAUUUGGGACUAUGGUUGGAGGAGAUCAAGGAGAUAUAAUUGAGGAGCUCUUAGGAGAAGGUUGCUGGAUUGAAGCUAGUGAGAAUAAUAUGAUGGCUAUGCAGCAAACUGCAUCGACGCAGCAACAACACUACAUGGCCAAUAAUAUUCCCAUUGGAAUGGGAGAAGGUGACCAUUUUAAUCAUCAUCAAGUUGAUCAGGAAAGUGGUUUUGUUGUUGGGAAGAGAUGGUGGAUCGGGUCGAGGGCGAGUCAAGGUCCAUCGACUUCGGUGAAAGAGAGAUUAGUAGUUGAUGUUGGUUACUUAAAAGAGUACACAAAGAACUCUUCCAACAACGUUCUUAUUCACAUAUGGGUGCCUGUUCUAAGGAGGAGAUCAGCAAUUCUUUAUCUGUAGCAGGAUUCCAGUUCAUUUGUUCCGAUUUUUGUGAAUCCAAACAUGAAUGUUCAUGUUCAAUUCUUUAGAAGCCACGAGUAUCCGCGACAUCAGCAACAGCAGCAGCAAUAUGGUUCUCUUCUAGCACUUCCUGUGUUCGAAAGAGGAAGUGGAACAUGUCUAGCUGUCAUUGAGUUUGUUAUCGCCAAUCAAAACCAAAGAAGAAGAAAACUUAUAUAUGAAGAAAGUGUUAUGACUUAUUUAAAAUAUGAUUUUUAUGUGUAUGAUUUUAUAGUACUUGAAAUAUUAUGACUGCACAUGAUUUUGUAUACUUUUUGCUUAAUAUUAAAAAUAUUUUGACUUAGUUAAAAUAUGAUUUUUAUGUGUAUGAUUUUAUAGUAUUUGCAAUAUUAUGACUGAAAAUGAAAUAUAACUAAAUGGU
This is an RNA transcript of Vicia villosa (hairy vetch), 2876 nucleotides long. It is a transcript of the gene named protein NLP1-like, with no coding region annotated. Lineage: Eukaryota; Viridiplantae; Streptophyta; Magnoliopsida; Fabales; Fabaceae. The transcript is spliced from 14 exons. The record is from RefSeq and is a predicted model, not a curated record.